This 404-nucleotide ribosomal RNA is filed under the name Actinomycetes bacterium. RNAcentral's name for it is "Actinobacteria bacterium partial 16S ribosomal RNA". It matches the Rfam family "Bacterial small subunit ribosomal RNA", at positions 355 to 776 of the family's 1533-position model. Lineage: Bacteria; Bacillati; Actinomycetota; Actinomycetes. The record is from RNAcentral.
UGGGGAAUAUUGGACAAUGGGCGCAAGCCUGAUCCAGCCAUGCCGCGUGAGUGAUGAAGGCCCUAGGGUUGUAAAGCUCUUUCACCGGUGAAGAUAAUGACGGUAACCGGAGAAGAAGCCCCGGCUAACUUCGUGCCAGCAGCCGCGGUAAUACGAAGGGGGCUAGCGUUGUUCGGAUUUACUGGGCGUAAAGCGCACGUAGGCGGACUAUUAAGUCAGGGGUGAAAUCCCGGGGCUCAACCCCGGAACUGCCUUUGAUACUGGUAGUCUUGAGUUCGAGAGAGGUGAGUGGAAUUCCGAGUGUAGAAGUGAAAUUCGUAGGUAUUCGGAGGAACACCAGUGGCGAAGGCGGCUCACUGGCUCGAUACUGACGCUGAGGUGCGAAAGCGUGGGGAGCAAACAGG